AGAGUUUGAUCCAUGGCUCAGAACGAACGCUGGCGGCAUGCCUAACACAUGCAAGUCGAACGGGAUCCGGGUCUUCGGUCCGGUGAGAGUGGCGGACGGGUGAGUAACACGUGGGAACCUGCCUUUGGUUCGGGAUAACCGCGGGAAACUGCGGCUAAUACCGGAUACUCCCGAGAGGGGAAAGAUUUAUCGCCAGAAGAGGGGCCCGCGUCCGAUUAGGUAGUUGGUGGGGUAAUGGCCUACCAAGCCGACGAUCGGUAGCUGGUCUGAGAGGAUGAUCAGCCACACUGGGACUGAGAUACGGCCCAGACUCCUACGGGAGGCAGCAGUGGGGAAUAUUGGACAAUGGGGGCAACCCUGAUCCAGCAAUGCCGCGUGAGUGAUGAAGGCCUUAGGGUUGUAAAGCUCUUUUGCCAGGGAAGAUGAUGACUGUACCUGGAGAAUAAGCCCCGGCUAACUUCGUG
Molecule: ribosomal RNA, 464 nt
Filed under: uncultured bacterium
Lineage: Bacteria
Description: bacterial SSU rRNA
Rfam family: Bacterial small subunit ribosomal RNA
Source: RNAcentral